RNAcentral lists this ribosomal RNA (840 nucleotides) under Escherichia coli. RNAcentral's name for it is "partial 23S ribosomal RNA". It matches the Rfam family "Bacterial large subunit ribosomal RNA", at positions 905 to 1744 of the family's 2925-position model. Lineage: Bacteria; Pseudomonadati; Pseudomonadota; Gammaproteobacteria; Enterobacterales; Enterobacteriaceae. The record is from RNAcentral.
GAGCACUGUUUCGGCAAGGGGGUCAUCCCGACUUACCAACCCGAUGCAAACUGCGAAUACCGGAGAAUGUUAUCACGGGAGACACACGGCGGGUGCUAACGUCCGUCGUGAAGAGGGAAACAACCCAGACCGCCAGCUAAGGUCCCAAAGUCAUGGUUAAGUGGGAAACGAUGUGGGAAGGCCCAGACAGCCAGGAUGUUGGCUUAGAAGCAGCCAUCAUUUAAAGAAAGCGUAAUAGCUCACUGGUCGAGUCGGCCUGCGCGGAAGAUGUAACGGGGCUAAACCAUGCACCGAAGCUGCGGCAGCGACGCUGAUGCGUUGUUGGGUAGGGGAGCGUUCUGUAAGCCUGCGAAGGUGUGCUGUGAGGCAUGCUGGAGGUAUCAGAAGUGCGAAUGCUGACAUAAGUAACGAUAAAGCGGGUGAAAAGCCCGCUCGCCGGAAGACCAAGGGUUCCUGUCCAACGUUAAUCGGGGCAGGGUGAGUCGACCCCUAAGGCGAGGCCGAAAGGCGUAGUCGAUGGGAAACAGGUUAAUAUUCCUGUACUUGGUGUUACUGCGAAGGGGGGACGGAGAAGGCUAUGUUGGCCGGGCGACGGUUGUCCCGGUUUAAGCGUGUAGGCUGGUUUUCCAGGCAAAUCCGGAAAAUCAAGGCUGAGGCGUGAUGACGAGGCACUACGGUGCUGAAGCAACAAAUGCCCUGCUUCCAGGAAAAGCCUCUAAGCAUCAGGUAACAUCAAAUCGUACCCCAAACCGACACAGGUGGUCAGGUAGAGAAUACCAAGGCGCUUGAGAGAACUCGGGUGAAGGAACUAGGCAAAAUGGUGCCGUAACUUCGGGAGAA